GACGAGGGGUGCAAACGUUAUUCGGAAUGAUUGGGUGUAAAGGGUGCGUAGGCGGUAUGCUAAGUCAAUCGUUAAAUUUUUCGGCUUAACCGAAAGUGAGCGGUAGAAACUGGCGUACUUGAGAAUGAGAGAGAGAAGUAGAAUUCUUGGAGUAGCGGUAAAAUGCGUAGAUCUCAAGAGGAAUACCAAUGGCGAAGGCAGCUUCUUGGCUCAUUUCUGACGCUGAGGCACGAAAGCGUGGGGAGCAAACAGG
RNAcentral lists this ribosomal RNA (253 nucleotides) under uncultured bacterium. Its description in RNAcentral is "partial 16S ribosomal RNA". It matches the Rfam family "Bacterial small subunit ribosomal RNA", at positions 524 to 776 of the family's 1533-position model. The record is from RNAcentral.